CCGCCGCCGUGUUGUGAAGCGUUCUCUCCCCCUCUCGUCCUUGUGCUCUCGCUGCCACUUUUUCGUGCCGCCCUCCCUGCUUGCCGGCCCGCGGCGGCAGCGGAACGCUCAGCGGAGGAGGGAGUGGUGAUGGUGGUGGUGGUCCUGCGGUUUCGCGAUCUGAACCCGACCCGGCCCUGCGCUGCAGCUACGCCGCACACGCACGCAGAUCCACUGGAGCCGGCAUAUUCACGUCUGCACAAGCGCACUUGGGAGAGGAGGGGUGGGGGGCGGCAGCAGCAGCAGCGGCAGCAACACAAGAAGCCCCACGUAUUACGCCCAUACACGGGAGCGAGCCUAUAAACCCACCAGACAGACGACUUGGAGGACACGAUAGACGUGUGAUGAGCAGCGAUCGUGCCGAGGCGAGUGAACGAGAGGUGAGGCGCGUGAAAGAUGGCGACGAGACGGAUCGCACCAGCGGCGGUGGCGGCGUGGUGGCGCCGUGGCUGGAGGAUCACGGGCUCUGGUCCUCGUCGUCCUCCCUCUCCCAGAUGACGCCGACCCGACCGUCGCGGAUAUCGUUGCUGGCCGCACCCGCCCCUGAGCCGCUCGAUGCGCAGAGGCACGUGUGCCACGCCAGAGCCGCGGCAGCAGCACCUGCUGCCGUCGUAAGCAACGCUGAGGAGGUGACCGAAGCGCGAGGCUCGUGCGCCGCGCUCCAUGCCAGCCGAGAAGACACACGCGACCGUGACUCGCCAGUGGCAGCACCCCAGGGGCAGCAGCCGGCAUUGAACGCCGAGGACGAGUGGAGGCGGCGUGCCUCUCGGCCUGCCUCGUCGGCGUCGUCAUCCUCGUCAUCUUCUGCGCAAGCAGAAGCGCAUCCAGGCCGCGUCGUCUACGAGGAUGGGCGAGGCGGCGGUGAGGAGGCAGACGACCGAAGUUCCGAGUUGCGCCAUGCUGACGCCAACGGAGCGUCAGAUGACGCAGAGGCUUCGCCGUCUACGGCGCUCCACCUGCCGUCGUCACCGCAGCCGCGCCGGCAAGAGGCGUCACCUCUACUGCCCUCGCUGACGCCGGUGGCGACGGCGCGCACGCAGCAGGCCAUGCUGUCGUCCUCAGCGAAGCCGCCGUUCACUGCCGAGCCACGAGGCCUGGAGAGCGACACACCGCCACCGCAGGUGGUCAGCCAAGGAGAAGGCACGAAUCCAACCAAGCGGCUGUGCACUGCCGUCGCUGCCGCCUCUAGAAGAGCAACCCUGACCACAUCUCCGCCUUCGCCGUCGCCGGGGAUGUGGGUGUCCUGCGCGCACAGCGACCUGCCGGCGCGGUACCGCGACGUCCCGGGGUACUACUGCACUUACUGCUCCUACACGGUUUGCGUGGACUGCUUCCCUCUCACGAACUUGCGGGAGCAGUCGCGUGUCACGAGAACCGCCGCGCCGUCCCCCGCCCCCUCGCCGGCUGCAUCCGCGUCGUCCGUGACGGGAGAGAUGGACUGGCUGGAUGCCGUGAUCGCCUCCCCUGCGACCGCCGUGCGCAGUGGCGGAGCUGCGAACGGUGCGCACCAGGUCCAUGCCACCGCUGCCACCUACGCAAGGGAGAGCGCUGGGGGCGACUACGGCCGCACGUCGCGGCAGCGACACCUGAAGGAGGGUGCCUCGUUACGUGACGCACCGCCGACCUCGACAUCGUCGACGGUGGCGGCACCUCUCCGCUGUCACCUCUGCCGGCGCGGCGACCUCGUGCGUGAAGAGGCGCUCCUGCACGAGUGGUGCUGUGAGGGGCCGGCGCCGGCGGCGCGGCGGCACAGCGGCGGCAGCCUCGUCUACGACACGGCGAAUCUGCACAAGUACCACUUCAUGCGAACACAGCGAGAGAAGCGGCGGUCAUCGACGGAGCCGCUGCUCGCUCGGGUGCUCGCAGUCUUCCCAGCCACGUUGGGCGGGGCGGACGCCCGCGCAGACGGGUCAGCCCCAUGUGUCACGCAGAGCCCCCUGCAAAGCCGCCGCCUCCGCCGCCCCCACGGCGAUGCAUCGAGCGGCAAGAGCGCCGUUCGCGGGCGGGACCCGCUGCCGUCCGCGUCGUCAGGGCAUGGACGGCGGCUGACGCUGUCGCGCCUUGAUGCAGGAGCCAACGCAGCCGCCAGUCUGCGCGGUAGCGCAGCGCUGCCGAACCUCGACCGCUGCGAGGAGGGCGGCAGCUACGUCUUCUCUGUAUGGAAUCCGCGGAUGGAGGUGCAGCUCGUGUGGUGCGCCGUGAAUUACGAGGCUCGUGAAGGUGCACCCGCGCUUCACCACCACUACCAGCACAGCAGCGCGGGCCACCGUGGCCAUGGCGUGCUGCCGUCCUCGGCCUCCGUCACGCCGCUCUUCAUGUGGCGCUGCCCACCCUCCUUGCCGGGGCUUCCGGCGCGGCCGUUUCGCGUGACGGUGCCCUACGGCCUGUACGCCUUCGCCAGCACGCACGCGCUGGCGCUGUACGAGGCGAGCGACAUCUUCAGAAAGGCCACCACGCAACUCGCUGCCGCAGCGGGUGGCGGCGAUGGUGCACACCACGCGCAGCUGCACCCCCGGCAGCUGUCGUCCGUGAAGGUGGUGCCGGCCGCCACGCUGCGUGCGCUGCUCAUUGUGCACGUGAUGCACCACGUCGCCACGACCCCAGUGCCGCUGCGCCUGGGGCGUGCGCUGCCGCCAUCGCUGCCAGACCCUACAUCACAGCACCACCACCUGAAGGAACAGCGCCCGGUGCCACAGGCCUCUUCACACGUAGCACGCUGCACCACGACGCCGCCGUCGGCGUCGCGCAAGCGUGCGCGGAUGAACGAAGAAGACGCGGAAGGGGGCGCGGAGGUCUCGGCUCUGCCGCCCACCUCUGACCUGCAGUGGCCCCAUGGUCUUGCCUCGCCGGAGCUGGCGCUCUGCGUGGAUCACCUGCUGCACGGCCGCUCCGUCGCGGUGUACGGCAUCGGCUCGAAGUAUUACUUCCUGCACCACGUGGCGCAGAGCGCGGAGCUGAAGCACUUCCACGUCGUCACGGUGGACGCUAGCCUCGGUCGUGGCGACGGUGACGUCGGCAACGGCGACAGUAUCGCUGCCGCAUCAGCGGCAGGCGAUCCGCACGGCGGUGGCCAGCGUGGGCGGCGCUCCGGAGGUGGCAGCGGCACGGGCGCAUCGGGUGGCGUUGCCGCCGCCCCCUCGAUUGUACGUCAGCUGAUCAUCCUCGGCAGCACGCUCGUGAGGCGCGUUCACUCCACCGCGCUCAAGACAGAGCUGCAGCUGCGGAGGCACGACGCCAUGCCGCCGCGGCGGCAAACGCGCCAGCAGGAUAUGCAUCAACGUGAACAGCAGAGGCCUGGUGCUGCCGCUGAAGCUGAUGCGUACCCUGCGGCACGGGCGGCACUCGCCGGAGAAGAAGCCCGCUCGCCAGCAGUGGCGCGUGACGUCACGUCCGCCAUGCAGCGCGCGGUGACCGCGUCACGGACAGCGAUCACGCCUGUGGAUGUGGUGGACGUCGACGAUGCCUUGAGCAGCAGCGGCGAAGAGUGGGAUGGGAUGCUUGGCGAUUUGGGCAAGCCGUGUGAUUCGCUCCGUAGCGCUGAGCGCGUCGCUGUCAUGCCGGCUCGUGACACCGUGCGCGAGGUGGGGCGGUCCCCUGCGGCGAGGUCGACGCUUGCAACGGUGACAGCAACGACGGGGAUGAUCACACCAAGCAAAACAACGUUGAAGUCGCGGCCGCGCCAGCGCUGUCCUCCCUCGCCGACAGUGCUGACGAGCACGCCGUCCUCGCAGCGCGGCACGCAGCUUGGCGGUGCGGAUGCGUCGUUGUCUGCGACGCCCUCGCUGUCACUCAUGUCGCCUGUGCCCGCCUUCUUCGAAGUGUUGCAGCGCACCGUCACCGGUUCGCUGGAGAACGACGGUGCCGCCGGCGCCGACAACGACGUCGCCCCGACUCGCAGCGCGUGCGUAGAGAUGCGCGAGUGGGCUGGCCGUCUCCACUCGCCGAAGCUGCCCCCCCUGCCCGCCACCGCCGCCUCGCAUCGGGGCGGCGCGGCGUCAGAGGUGACGUGGCGGGCCCCGGUCCUCUGCUUCGCCAGCGACGCCGUCCGUCAGCUGGUGCUGGCGUCGGUGCGGCGCCGCCAGGCGAGCCGCCGCUGUGUGCAGUGGGUGUCCUUGCCAUCGACGACGGCGUUGGCCGUGCUGGCCGAGCAGAUACCGUUCACGGCAGCGCCAUCGCCGACUGCGCCUCCUCGUCUGCACCUAACGGAGGCCCAUCAGCUGCGUCCUGGCUGGUCGCCGCCGGUGUUGCUCGUGCUGCACAACGUCGACUUGCUGGACACGGAGGAAGCGGGUCUGCUCCUGCAGUUGUGCGCCGAGUUCGCCUACCCACACCCGCACCUGCAGCUGCUGCUCUCCUUCGACGACCCGCGAUGGCCGCUGACGCCGCUGGCCGGCGCGCUCACGCAGAUGGGCGUGUGCGCGGUACAGCUACGCAGUCUCCUGCUGCCGCGCGUGCAUGAGAUGCAGCACGUUAGCAGCCUACGCCUUCUCACGGACUCGGAGGCGAUGGCAGCCGGCGGUGCUGGUUCGCUGGGGUUGAAGGCGACGGGGCACGGCGCGCCGAGAGCUGCUGGCGCUGGCGGCCUUGCAAGCGCCGGCAGCAGCAGCGGUGCUGGUGGCGGCUCGCACCUUCUGCAGGAUACGAUGCGUCGCGUGCUCUUCAGCUUGCCGCCAGCCUUCAGCGGCCUCCUGCGCAUCCUCAUCGAUCUGCAGGAGGAGAUGGGCGAGGGCCAGAGGGUAUCCGUGUUCGUCGCGAAGGACAGGUUCGAGCAGCAUGGUAUGAUGGUGUCGCAGGGACGGCUGAAGGCGCUGCUGCAGGAGCUCACGUCGAACCGGAUUGCGCAGUACGACAUGGCCGAGCACGCGCUGACGGUCAUGCAGCCUCGAAAGCUGCGCAAGGUGCUGGAAGAGGUCGCGGCGCAGCGAGAUGGCGCCGCUGCCGCUGCAGCGGCGCCGGUAUCUUCCGGUGCAUCCGCCUUUCGCGCCAGCUGACGUCGAUACCAGGGCGGUGUGAUCCCAGCGAGUGGAUGUGCGCGCACGAACGCCGGCAACAGUCGCUGAGGAUGCACACGUGCGUGUGCACGUUACACAACCUCAGGGAAGAUUCAAAGAGGUAUGGGCAGAGAAUGAGAGAGAGACACGUGUCGAAGAUGGUCGUCUCAUGUGCUCAUCAUCGUGAUGGGCGUUCUCCCCGCCGCAUCAGCAGCAGCCCUCGCACGCCAACGCCUCACAUCGGGGGGAGGAGGGGGUGGGGGCAUGCAUUUCGUUCCCGGCGCGUAAGGGCCGUAAGCGAGGGAGCCGGAGAGACAGGCGACGAUGAUGACAACGACGCCACAUCGCACGCGGAUUCGUCGCCUCUUUUUUUUUGUUCACGCCCCUCCGUUGCACAGCAUUCUUUCCCUUCUCGUGGCCCAUCUCUCUUCGGGUCAUGCCAGUACCCACCCACCUAUC
RNAcentral lists this unclassified non-coding RNA (5489 nucleotides) under Leishmania donovani. RNAcentral's name for it is "gene:LdHU3.01.0760(CDS-product:hypothetical_prote in_conserved)". Lineage: Eukaryota; Euglenozoa; Kinetoplastea; Trypanosomatida; Trypanosomatidae. The record is from RNAcentral.